This is a long non-coding RNA of Homarus americanus (American lobster), 1517 nucleotides long. RefSeq lists it as uncharacterized. The record is from RefSeq and is a predicted model, not a curated record. The transcript has 2 exons. Lineage: Eukaryota; Metazoa; Arthropoda; Malacostraca; Decapoda; Nephropidae.
AUUUUUAAUGUCUGGUUAUAAGUAAUUGGUAAAAUAUGUAUAAUUUUAAAUAGAUCAUAAUGAUUUACUUUAAUAUUGAAGAAAUAUAUUUUAAUAAUUCAUAUAUCAAUCGCGGUGUGUUGCCCUCAUCACCAGUCAGGCUCUCCAAUACACCAUGACUUGUAGGAACAUUCUGGAAAAUGGCCAGAAUAGGGGAAAGGAAAAGCCCGUGGGUGGCUGCUGCUUGUAUUCUAAUGGCUGUCAACGUUCUCUUCUUGUCUUAGUUAUAUAAUGUGUGGCUUUAUGUUUGUCUAAUAUUUUCAACUUCUGGAUCUGCCAAGAAGAAACAAUGUUAAAUUACACUUAUGGUAAGUUGGUAUGAAAGAAUUGUUCUUAUUUUCUGCAGCUGUUUUAUGUGUGAAUCACUUUAUUGUUCCCCCAGGUUAGGAAGGUACAUACAAGUACAGUGGUGAUGUUGAUAUUUAUCACAAACAGUAAUUUGGUAAACUGAUCAAACAACACAACUUGUUAUGCUGCAGUGAUUGAUCAUAAAUUGAUACAGUGUGAGAAAUACUGUAUAUGGCCUCUAGAAUAGAAUUAAGAUAUUGUGGUGUACUGUAUUGAGAAACAUCAGCUUAGGGAGGUGGAAUGAGUACCGAGAAAUAUUGGUAGUUUCCCUGGACCAAUUACCUUGUAAAGUAAACACAAAAUUCAUUAUUUAAAGUUUGUUAUGUGAAAGGGUUGAACCGAGAAAGAAAACCUUUUUGGUAGAAUAAAAGAAAAAUUUUAAUUUCAUCACUCGUGCUUGGUAUACAGUAAUUCACUGUCAACAUGGAGUGGAUGUUAUGUGCCUUCUCGUAGAAUAGAUAAAUGAACAACUAUUACACUGCCCCCUCACUUAACUUGUGAGUUGCAGUCCCAUGAUAACAUGGGGAGAUAGGGGAUGCAUCAGGUGAACCCCAAAAGGUCCCCCCCCCUCCCCCCCAAAAAAAAAAAGUUCAAAGACUGUACAGCUCUACAGUAGCUCGCUAAUACAUGUACAUCUACCAAAUUCGCUUAAACUUAAUGUUGUGGAGAGACUGGCGGGUCCAUGAAAUCAAUUCCUAAAGUUUAAUAUUACCGUACAGCCAUUUUCAGAGGCUGGCUGAGUCACGCAUGGCCUUCUUCAAGCCUCACCACAGCAACCUGACCUGGGUACUCUCUCCCUCCUGACCCUUAGCAAUGCUCACCCUCCCGGUGGUAUAUAAAGAAAUGUUUAUUCAUCUUAUGUUUUUGACCCAAUGAUAUUUUUCUUCCCCCACAUUCUGUAGGGAGGAUUAUGUGUGCAUGUAACAAAAUGGUGAAGGUUAAUUGUAUCUACUUGAAAUUAUGAAUGGAAAAAUAACCAUAACAUAACUCCGCUAAAUCUCGCUGGUGCAUGAAGAAAUGUUAAGUGUACUGUACAUUCAUUUAAUGUUUUUGACCUAAUAAUUAUGAUUUUUCCCCACAUUCUGUUUGUAGAAUGUGUGCAUCUAACCGAAUAAAAGAAUAUAAAGAAA